RNAcentral lists this long non-coding RNA (29869 nucleotides) under Theobroma cacao (cacao). Its description in RNAcentral is "long non-coding RNA (TCAC_LNC005784)". Lineage: Eukaryota; Viridiplantae; Streptophyta; Magnoliopsida; Malvales; Malvaceae. The record is from RNAcentral.
CUCCAUUUACUAAAGAAAUUAAAGCAAGUAACUUGCUAGUGAAGCAUCAGCCCUUCACAAUCUAACCAAUGGUCGGAACCCUGGUAACAAUCCCAUAGGUGUUAACCCAAACUCGAACCCUAGUGCACAAGAAAUCCGCUGUAACAAAUGAUCCUUCCAACACAAUCACAGCAUUGACAUGAGGAUUCUCCUUCUCAAUUCUUGCUGCUGCAUCCUCCCCUUUCUUCCCCACAAGCUCCGGCCAUGAACUUUUUCCUACAUAUAUAGUCACAUAUAUAAUUUGUUUUAAAGGAAAGGAAAUGAAAUUAUUAGUACAAUUACAAAGCAUUCUUAGCUUUGAAAGUUGUUAGUAUUUACCUUUGCAUUCGUCUGAAGCCAUCUUUCUUCUUUUCACUCUAUUGAACUAUUUUUUUCUGCUUUGAUCUAUUUGUGUUAAGGCAACUAGUUAAGAUGGGUAUUUAUAGAUGAGGAGUAGAUUAGCCUGUUCCUCAUUAUUGACCUUUCCAGCAGGCUAAUGUUGAAAGUUUGAAGUGUCUUUUUGGGAGGGGAUAAAUUGUUUGUUGUAUUCCAACAUCAGCUCUGAUGAAGAUUAGAAUGAAGAAAGUUGGUGCAUUCUUCAGCGACUUUUCACACUUCCCCUUCCAAAAUUUAAUCAAUAAACCUAACAUAUAUGAGGUCUCAGCUGCCACUAUUUGUCCAAUGACAUUUUCUAUGCACUUCAUUACAGCAAAGUAUAUCUUUGAACAGUUCAAGAUCUUAGCUUGUGGAUAUAGGAAUAGGAAGCUUAUCCCAAAGAUUGGAUUACGGUGCAAGAUAUCUUGAAUCAUGGCAAGCUAUGCAAACAAAUAUGGCUUACAAGUCAUCAGAGUUCCACUUCUAUAGUUUUUUUUUUUUGAACAUUAAAUGACAGUUUGUGAAUGAAGUGUAUGCUAUGAGCACAAAUUCUUGAACUGAUGAGUUGAGUUUUAGGGGAGGUGGAGAGAGAUGUUAUGGUAGAGGUAAGGAUUUGAUGAAGGCAAGCUGAACUGAAAAGAGGAGGCGUGAUGAUUGAAAUGGAAGAGGCCGUGUGAAAACAGGACAGCUUCACUGCUUGGUUCUGUUUUGCAACAAUGAAGAUUUAAAAUUCAAUUUGUGUAAGGUGUGAACACACUGAAAGUUAUAAACAACUAAACGAACACAGAAAUUUUUAAAGCUAUAUAUGCAUAUAUUAUAUAAUUUAUAAAGUUAAUUCAUUUUACUCUUUGAUUAAUCAGGUUGAAACGAAACUGGUUUUGUCUCAUCAAAGAAGUAACCAUUUCUAUCUGCUUGUCUUGAGUUUAUGUGUUGUAGAGUCUAAACCGAAUACAUUUGUUUUUUUCGCUUAUUCUCGGCCAAUAGUGAAUUGUAUUGAGUAUCAAAAAAUGAUACAAGCACUGAUCAGAGAGCAGUGAUCAGUGAGGGACACGGAGAGAAGGUAAACAGGAAACAGAAUGAGGCACCAAGGCCAUAGUGUGAUCUCUACUUAGCACUAAGAUUCCAAAGACCAAUAGAAAGGCAUAGGCAGUAACAAACCAGUAUCAUCCACGGGACAGCACUGACAGAGCACAAGCAGUGAAAUGCAGUAGCAUUCAGAGAGAAGCGAAUCCCGACAUAUGGAAAACCAGACGUUGGUGAGAUGCCAUUUGACAAGGUCAAGAGCAGUGGAUAGUUUCAUUGCAGUGAUCAGACAAGUUGUGGGCAUAGAGAGUGUUGGCAUGACAUAAUAAACCAGCUAAAUCAAAUUUUGCUCCGCAGAAUCAGAUUUUUAUCUUGUUUUGAUUAAACAAGAUUUAAUUACUUUCCAUUAAGGAUGAGAUCAAUUCAUAUUGGCAAUCAAUUUGGAAAAGCAUAACAUCUCGGUGAUUUCAACUUGAAAAAUAUAUUCAAGAGUAAUCUUCACAAUUAGAAGACCAAAAAAAAAAAGAAAGGCAACCUGGAUAAAAUUAAAAGGCUACAUCAAAUUGGCAUUAAGCUGCAUGGGUAGCUCCACAGGUGCCAGAUGUUCGAAAGCUAACAAUGCAUUUACGUCGUCUACAUCUUUAUCAGUGAAAAGCUCAUCCAACUUGCUAAUUUCACUUAUGUUGCUAAUUCCUCAUAGCUGAUCCAAUUUCUUGAAAGACUCAUCAUCGUUUAAUUCCUCAUAUCCACCCAAUAGCUCAUCCACAUUCGAAUCAGUGACAGGUUCAACCGAUUUGCUAAUUUCAUUGUUGUUGCUAAUCCCAUGUAGUUGAUCCAAUUCCUUCUAACAGUCACCAUCGAUUAAUGCCUCAUAUUCACGCAAUAAUUCAUCUACGCUCUUAUCAAUGACAAGCUCAUCCAAGUUGCUAAUUUGAUCGUUGUUGCUAAUCCCCAAUAGUUGAUCCACCUCAUUGAAAGGGUCUUCAUCCCGCAACUGAUCCAUCAAAGAAUAACCCUCACCUACUAGGCCAUUAGAUUCCAUUUCUCCAAAACCAUUCACUAGAGAUUCUGAUCCUUCCACCAAAAUUGAUGACUGACAUUCCAGGUUCUCUGACUGCUGCAACCUUCCAUCCACGUAAUUAUCUAUCAAAGGAUCGCAUUGUCCAUAAUCGGGCAAAGGUAAAUUUCCACUGAAAACAGCUUCUUGCAUCAAAGCAGAUGAUGGACAUUCUUUGUUUCCAAGAAGCAGAUUUCCAAAAAGCUCCUUAACCCAAAAAGCUACACACUCAUCUUUCUCUAAACAGGCUAUGUCUUUGAUCUUGCAGAUAACCCAUUCUUGAAAAUUUUCUCCGGGGAGACGAUACUCAUGCAUCAGCCAGCUAGUUUUGUUGGCAUCCUUUGAACUUCGUUUUCGCACCCUUGCACUCAUAGAAGUUAAGGGUAUUCACGUACCCUAUAACAUGCUCUCCUUGUUCAUCAAGAAUAGGUUUCUCACCUGUUGAAGACCUCCAAAAUCCACCGACUCCUGCUGCUCGACUGUCAAGAACCCUUCUAGGUCGUUUUCCAUUUGCAUUCUUUUGAGAAAUCUUCUGACGAUGGGUGAAGACGAAACGCUGGUUGGGUUUGACGAACGGAAGAAAGCCUUUGUUAACAUCAAACAGGGCAGCUGGCUUGAUGCAAUAUAGAUCACAAAAUUCAAUGAGGUAGCUAAGUUCGCCGAUCCCUUCACCAGUCAUCAACUUGGGCAGAAAAAAGGAAACUAUCACCCGAUCAGAAGGAUUGAACACCACUCCUGGAGCUGGAGGAUGGAACAUCAUUGCUAGGGUCGGAGUUAGAACAAGAUUUUCUUGUUUUGGGAAAGAGAAUGAAGAGGUUCUUAGCGUCAAAAGGAAGCAGAAUGCUUUGUUUUCUGAGAGUGAAGUGAGAAGAAAUCUACUUGCUUAAUUCUGCUUUUAUUUAUAGUUAACAAAAGAGACGGUUUAAGCAGAAUUCUACUUGCUUAAUUCUAGUUGCUUAAAACGCGUUUUUUUUUUUAAUUUUAAAUUUGAAAUUUGGUAGCACUGCUUCUGCUGGUCUCUUGAUCAGCUUUGCUAUGAAAGUUCCUUGAUGGUACAAGAACACUAAAGCAAGGCACCUCACCCUCGCUCCAACCAAGGCCGUCGAUAGCACGUUCUCUCCCAGCGGCCACCAGUCCUUGUCUCCCAUCACGGUACCUUCCCCCUCUCAAUCUCCCCCCAAUUUCCGUGUUUCACCCUGUGAGGUUAUAAUUCCACCCUCCCCUGCAUUUCUUGGGUUUUAGCUCCUGAAUUUUGGCAUGGAAACUCAAUUAAAUUUCUAUUUUAUUCUAAUUAGCAUCAAAUGAACUUCUUUUACUAAAUUUCAAGGAAUUUAUUUGGAAAUGCUCAUAAUUUUUCACUUUUAAAGUAAAGGAUAUGUUUGUUUGAAAUUUCAAUGUCAGUACAUGUGUGAUUUCUAUGGUUUACUGUGAAACCAUGCUCAGAGUUAUUCAAGAUGGUGAUUUGGGUUGGGAUGAAUGGCAUAAUUAGCUUUACUUGAUCAUCUUUUCCAUAACUUGUUUAAAUUUUUUACUAAAAGAUUGUUAAAAGAUGAGAAUGAGGGGGAGAGUUUGAAGAAUUGUUACUAACUGUUUGGGGUAAAGGGUUGAAUCCAUCAUGAUAGGAAAUGGAUGCACUUGAUAGUAAAGAUGUGAUAUGAACUUUAUGAUAAGCAUUAAAUGGGGUGAUUUGGGUUGAAUCCAUUAUGAUAGGAAGGGGAUGCCUCAUGCCUGGUGCCUUGUCUGAUGAGAGAAAGUAAUGAUAACGAUUUUUGUUUCGAAACAGACUGUAUAUCACCAGAAUAAUUUCUCAUGCACUGUUACCAGUCUGUUGUUUUGAGGCCUUGUCCGUUGUUUUGGCUCUUUUUCCCCUUUUAGCGCAGGUUCAUCAGGUUCACUUGCAGAUAGGAAAGAAUUGGUUUCUUUGUCUCUGCAGGACACGGGGGGGAUACUGGUGUUCUUGUUGUGAGGGUCAAGACUGACUGCCAAUCAGUCUUCCACUCUCCUCUGUUUGUUUUUGGACUCCCUCCAGGGAAUGAAUGACUUAAUUUAAAAAAAAAAAAAGCUUAAAUUUUUUCUAUAUACCAUGACCAGAACCCAGCUUUAUUUUUUUGUGCCCAAAUAAAAUGGUGAAGAAAUAUCAUUUUGCUUUACAUGAAAGAGAUUGGGAAACAACUUAUUUCUUUGGAAGGUAAGAGAUGUGAUGAAAUUUUUAGGUUGAGAAAAGAUUUGUGGAUGGAUAUAGAACGAAGUGCAAUUAUAUUUCAUAUGGACAUUUUGUUUUUUACUUUGUUGUUUUGAGUUCUGGAUUUUAAUUUGUUAUGAUUCUUUUUGGAUAUUUAAUUUUUUUGAAAUCCAGUGAGUAAUAAAAAGGAUAGCUGCUCCACAAAAUAAAACUUGAUUGCAAAUUUAAAAGUUCUAACUAGGAAAUACCUAUAAAGAGGAAUGCCAUGAUAUCUACUUUCUUUCUUUUUUUUAAUUUUUGGCCAUUUCUAGCUUGGAAAUAGCUAUUGUUCACAUAGAUGAAUCAAGCAUUUGGAACCAUAUGGUAGAAUCAUCAUGUAGAUAAGUCACUUUGAUGGUAUUUUCUUUCUGAAUUUAAAAUGUAUGGCAAAGUCUCUCAUAUGCCAGCUAUCCACAUUGCAAGUCUGGAAUCAGUAAUCAGCAAUAUUAUGAUAUCUUUAUGCUAUCUUAUUGUGUGCGUGUAUAUAUAUAUAUAUAUAUCCAAGUUACAAAAUAUAAUGCCAUGUUGACAAGGGUAAGGAAGAAAGAAGUAUAUAAGUUUUGGCUCUAUAGAGUGCAAGGCUAGAGGGUCUUUCAUCAUCUUAUUUCAUGCUUCUGGCAGUUUGAUGUCAAAAUCUCUUGCUUCUCUGAUGCUGGAUUAGUAGGAUUGCAAGAUAUUCUGCCUAUGAACUGUCAUCUUCAUGUUGUCGAAAAAUUCCUGAUCCAGUAUUAUGAGGAAACUACCGAGUUUCAUGUGACUAGCACAGAUACAUAUCAGAUUACACAAGAGUGAUACCCAGGACAUCAUGAUAACUAAGUGAUGGUGGGAAGAAAUUAGAGUUUUGGGAAGUAUAACUUGCAUCUCAUUGAUGGAAGCCUUCAAAUAUCAAAUUUCUUUGGGCAUUUUGAUAUAAACCAAACAUCAAGGUUACAUAAAUAACUUUAGUUUUCACAAGUAUAACUUGGUUAUAAGAGGAAUGCCAUGGUAUUUUGUUUUUAAUUAUUUGGCCGAACUCCAUAGAAAGUCAAAGAGAAGAUUACCUAGUGGUUGCUUAUUUCCAUAUACUAUGCCCCCCAGAAAUUUAAGUGCUGGAACACCCCUAAUUUCCAUGUCCACUAGGGGUGCUUGGAUUAACUUCAAGCUGGAUAGUUUUGGAUUGUUACGAAUCAUAUCAGGGCAUGCAUUUGAUGUUGAAAUAUUCAAUUAAUAAUAAAUAAUUAAAAAUAUUCGAGUAUUUGGUUCGGUAAUUGAUACAUGAUCCUUUGUCUAGAAAGUAAAAUUUGAAUUCCCUUCUCUUAAUUAAAAAAAAAAAACAAUGAGUAAUUACGGGGAAGAGUAAGUUGGAAAGGAUGAUGAAGAUACUAAUGUUCCAUCUUUCCGUUAAUAUGUUCUUCCAUUCAACAUGCUAUGAAACAUCGAUCACCAUUUGUCAUAAUAUUAUUGAGGGUAAACAGAUUAUACCUUUCUUUUCACAGCACAGAACUUGCAGUCAGAGGCAGAUGGAUGAAGAAUCUGAUUAACAAUAAGUCGCCUGACAGGAACAUUUUCCUUGUCCAAGAAGGCACGUAGUCUAGAUGACUCAUUGGCUGCCAUCACCUAGGGAAAGGACAUAAAACAUGAGCAAUGAGCUGAGGUUAUUCUAGUUGUUGUAUUAAGGCAAUGAACAGAGGUUCUUUGUGUAGACACAGAGAAAACUUUGGACAGAACUAUAAUCAACACGUUUACCCAUUUCACCUACACGUUUUCUGCUGCAGGUGUUUUAUCAAGGUGGCAGGGAGGUUUCCCUUUCUAGGUAUCAUCAUCAACUAUGUAUGAGUAUGACCAUUUGAACACAAUCUAAUUCAUCAUUUCAUAUAUAUAUAUAUAUAUAUAUAUAUAUUAUAACUAUCAGAAAUCAAAACAUAUUUUUUUAUAAUUUGCACUAAAUAUAUUUGUAAUUUUACAUAUUAUUAUAUUAUAUUAUAGAUAUUUAUAUUUUGUAUGGUUUUAGGAAUAAUACUGUAUGUUGUUUGAAUUUUAAUAAAUUUCAAAUAUAAUUAUAUGCUAAUUUUGCAAUACUUAUUAUUAAAUAAAAUAUAAAUUAUAUGAUUAAUAAAAUAUAACUAUAGAAUGUGCAGGCAGUGUCAAUAGGAGCUCCCUCGAGCAUAUGUGCCAUAUAUACACCUUCGAAUCCUCACUACCACUUGCAAUAAAUUACAAAUCGGAUACGUUUUAUGACCUUUGUACUUUGACACAAGUGUAGGAUCACCUUCUAUGCUCCAGAGAUGGUUUUCUUGGAUUAUAAGAUUCACCAGUAAGAACUUAUUGUCUUUUGAUAAUGAGAAUGAAGUAAUCAUGUCCACCUCUUCAAUAAGUCUCUCAAAUUUUCGUUCCCAGUCGAGCAAUAGUAUAGCAGAUUCUCUGAAUAUGCUUAUGAUCCUCUUAUCAUCAUCCGUUAUGGCCAUAUCUGAGAUUUUAAAUUUCCUCUGUCCUUUGCAGCAUUCUUCAGAACUGAAAUCCCAACGCCUGAUACCCUCCUCCUGUCCACAGGUAAGGAUUUGGCUAUCAUCUGGGCUCCAUGAAACAGUUAAUACUGGUUUCUGAUGGCCGCAUAGGGUAAGCUUCAGUGACCCUUGCCCUUGACCACUAGUUAUAUCUUAAUCCCAUAUGUAGUCCAUGGGAAUUCAUUCAUUCAUUUGGUCUACAAAGGCAACGUGUAAGGGAUAUGAUCUCAUAUAUAGAAAUUGAACUACAACGGAUUUGAAUGACCUUAUCUAGCUAUAUAUCUAUUUUUGCACGAUGAUCAGCCGCCAUCUUUGAACAACUAUGUUGAAAAACUUGAAAAAUGGAAUGCCUUCUCUUGAGAUAAGCCAGUUUCUCACUUUACUGAUAUAAGCCAAUUUCGUAAGUGAUAUCAACUUGACAGAGCUAGCUAAAUUAGCCUCGUGAAUUUGGUUGUUAGUUUGACUACUUACUUUUCCAUAAAUAAUAGAUAUUUUCACAUAGUUAAAAAUAAAAAAAUUCUAUUUAGAAAUCUUUCUUAUCACAAAGAAUUAUAAUGAUUAACCAUUAAAGCCUAUAAUAUAAAGUCCAUUUUUUGGGUUCAUAAUUUGACUUUUCUUCAAUCUAAAUCCAUUUAAACAAAUAUUCAUGGCAAUCUAGAUGGUUCGAGUUAGUGUUAACAGAUCUUCAUAUUAAUCAUCAUUUGGUUGUACACUCAAAAAGAACUAAUCCAAAAUUUAAAAAUGAAAUAUGGAGGUUGUUGUAAACCGUGCGAAUUAAAAAAUCAAUUAAAAUAUAGUUGGAAUACUCUAGUUAUCAGGGCUUAACAUUAAAAACUAAUUAAAGUUGCUUCCUAUAUUAUACCAAAUAUAUAAAUAUCCGCGCAGCUGACAAGGCAAUGUUUUCUCCAUUGAAAAUUUGCUAUAUUAGAUUCAUUAGAAUGAGAAAGAAUAAUUAGAUAUUAUGACGUGUAAUUUUUUUAUUUAUACAUUUGCUUUGUGAGAGAUUCUGAUAUUCAAAUAUACUCAAAAUGGACACAACAAAAUAUAAUCAUAAAACGAAAAAGGUUUUAAUAGGAGACUAUUAUUAAUAUCUUAUACCAAAUUUAAAACAAAUUACAGACAUAUAUGUAUUUCAAGAGUUACAAUAAUUUUGAGCUUGCUUAUUUAAUUAUGGCUACAUGACUAGGUAUAAAUAAGUGACUUGCUAGUCAAGUAUAUAAGCCCUUUGCAUUUAACCAAUGACGGGAACCCUGGUAACGAUCCCAUCAGUGUUAACCCAAACACGAACCCUAGUGCACAAGAAAUCCGGGGUGACAAAUGAUCCUUCCGACACAAUCACAGCAUUGACAUUAGGAUUCUCCCUCUCAAUUGUUGCUGCUGCCUCCUCCCCUUUUGCUCCCAGGAGCUCCGGCCAUGAACUUUUCCCUACAUAUUUAGGCAUAGCCACAAGAAUUUGUAUUAAACAAAAGGAAAUUGUUAAUCAGCACAAACCAUUCCAGGCUCUGGAAGUUGUUAUUUACCUUGGCAUUCAUCUGAAGCCAUCUUUCUCUUCUUUUCACUCUAUUGCAAUAUCCUGUUCCUCUAUGAUUUAACUGUGUUAUGGCAAUCGGGUAAAAGGGAUAUUUAUAGAUGGAAAAGUAUAUGGUGGUUUGUUGGACAUUAUUGACUUUCGAGGCUUAUGCCAAAAGUUUGACGUUCUUGGCAAAUUAAUUGUUCCAUAGUUCUCAAACCUGCAUUUAGCUAUAUGAUCAGAAAUCUGUCAGCUGAUGAAGAUUUACAUGAAAGUCUGUGUAUUCUUUAAGCAAUUCUUCUCACGUUUCCUUUCAGAUUUUAUUUAAAACCAUCGGAUAUAUAUAUGAUCAGCCACUAUUUUUUCAUUGAAAUUUUCUAUGCAUUUGAUUACAUCAAAGCUUCUUUGAACAGUUCCAUGUCUUUUCUUGCAGAUAUUGCAAUAGCCAAUAGGGAAGCUUAUCGCCAAGAUUGGCUUAUGCUGCAAGAUAUAUCUUGAAUCAGGGCAAGGUUUUAAAAUGAAUGGCUUACAACUGAUCUAGAUCUCUCCUGGUCAAAGUCAGCCUGUAAAUAUAUUGCUUACGUUGAAAAUUGUGCAUUUUCAUUCACAUUCAAUCCAAAUUUCCUAACAUAGUUAAUUAAUUAAUAUUGUAAGCAUUCGGUUUUCAUUUUAUAAAUAUAUAUCUAUUGAAUCAAAAGUGUAUAUUUAAGUUGAAAUAGAUCAGAGGAAAUGUAACAUGGAGUGAAAUUAUCAAGUGUUUUGUGAUCUUUAAUGAGAUUUCAUUCAGAAACAAAGUCAAUGAUGAACCAUGAUAAAGUUGAAUCAUUUCAUUUUCGUCACAGCUUGACCAUGAACCAACCGGGAAUCAAACCCGGGUCUGUGCCGUGGGAGUGUAUACUACUAUUCUACCAUUAGAGUCCUUCCCACUUCACCUUGACAAAAUUAUCUCCCACGCAGCCCCAACCCCUAAAUCUGGUGAAGGAAAACCCAAAAUGCCUCUGUCCCAAAAUAUUUAAAUUACAUUUGCAUUUUUUUAAUAAUGAUUUGCAAUUUUUAAGUUUUAAUUACAUACAAGGGAGCCAAAUCAUAUUCAUCUUGUAAGAGAGAAAUGACAUGAUGCUUCAUUUUUUUUUAAAGAGAAAAAACAAGAAAUUAAAACUAAAUGUAACUUACAUCUAUAUAUAAAGUAUAAAUUAAUAACUUUUCUUUGAAAAUUAGAAAUUCAUAUCUGUCCAUGGCAUUCUCUUUCCAGAUUCCAAUUUCAUGGCAAAGUCUUUCCAUAUGUCUGAUCUCUAAAUACUAUUGCACAUCCCAAAUCAAAAAUCAAGCUUUGAUAUCUUAUAAUGCUUUAUCCUGAUCUCACAAAAUAAAUGUAGUAGUAGUUGACAAGGUACUUUGUUCUCUAUGUUCAUAUAUUACAAAUAAAUAACAGUUUAUGGAAUUAUAUUUGACUCAAUAGUUUAUACAUGAGUUCCCUUCAAAGAAUGGGAUCUGAAUUUCUUUUCUCCAAAAAACCAAAAGAAAGAAAAUGCUAUUAGAUUGUCAUUAUUUGCAACAAUAUUCUCUAACAUCACAAGAAUUAAUCCUUCUUGAACAAUGGGUGUUAAAAGGAUGUAAGAGGACAUUUUGCAAAGAAUGGACCAUUUAGGUCCGGCACCUUCAAAAUUUUGCAUUUCUUCUCACUUAAUUCCAAAUUCAAGUGCAUGACAAAAUAUGAUCAUAAAAUACAAAGAAGCCUUAAUGGAGACGGUUCAAAAUCUUAUUCCAAACUAAAAAUAAAUUACAGACUUAAAUAAAGAUAAUGAGAUUAUGUAACAUAAUAUUGGGUAUUCUUAUUUUAAAUUACAAUACGUAAUUCGUGUCUAUUAAAGAAAUUAAAACAAGUAACUUGCUAGUAAAGCAUAAGCCCUUCACAAUUUAACCAAUGAUAGGAACCCUGGUAACAAUCCCAUAGGUGUUAACCCAAACUCGAACCCUAGUGCACAAGAAAUCCGCUGUAACAAAUGAUCCUUCCAACACAAUCACAGCAUUGACAUGAGGAUUCUCCUUCUCAAUUCUUGCUGCCGCAUCCUCCCCUUUCUUCCCCACAAGCUCAGGCCAAGAACUUUUCCCUACAUUUAUAGCCACAAGAACUUAUAUAAUUGCUUUUAAGGAAAUAAAAUCAUUAGUACAAUUACAAAUCAUUCUUAGCUUCGAAAGUUGUUAAUAUUUACCUUUGCAUUCAUCUGAAGCCAUCUUGUUCUUCCUCUUACUCUAUUGAACUAUUUUUCCUCCUUUGAUUUAUUUGUGUUAUGAAAACUAGUUAAGAUGGGAAUUUAUAGAUGAGUAGGUUAGCCUGCUGCUCAUUAUUGACCUUUCUAGGAAGCUUAUGUAGAAAGUUUGAAGUGUUUUUAUGGGGAUAAAUUGUUUGUUGUAUUCCACUAUCAGCUCUGAUGAAGAUUAGGAUGAAGACAGUUGGUGCACUCUUCAGCAAUUUUUCUCACUUUCCUUACCAAAAUUAAAUUUAGAGUUCACAGAUAUAUGGUUUCCACAACCAUUUGUCUAAUGAAAUUUUCGAUUACUACAUAUUGUUUGAACAGCUCAAAUCUUAACUUGUCUAGAUUUUUCAAAAUUGGAUUAUACUUCAAGAUAUCUUGAAACAUUUAUUGGCUUAAAACAAUGAAUUUAAGUCAAUUAAUGAUCCAUAUAUAUAUACAUAUAUCUCUAUAAACAAAGGACCAAAAUCUUAAUCAUGUAAAAGAGAAAGCAAAAAUGAAAACCACAAACAUAUGAGAUAAAGUUGAAGUCUUUGAUGUGUUCCAACAAGGAAGAUUUGAAAUUCAAUUUGUGUAUGGUGCGAACACCCAAAACUUAAAGAAAAACAAACAUAUAGAAAGUCAUAAUAACUAUAUAUCUAUAAACAACUUUAAACAAGCACAGAAAUUUUAAAGCUAUAUAUAAAGAGUUGAAAGUCUUUGUUGCAAGAAGGAAGGUGAAUAUUAGAUUUUGAUUUAUCUUCGGAGAAGUGAUUGUUAAAUGUUAAUAUAUUCUUUGAUUAUUUAAAGUCAACAGAGCAAUAAUGAGCAUGGUAGAUUUAAAUGGUAUGUUCAAUUCUUUUAGAAUUAGACAUUAUCUUUGAGGUUUUGAGCAUCCAUAUUUAAUUAGCUUGAAGACGAUGUACAAUGCUUCAAUGAUUAAUUUAUCAAGUUAAUUGAUGUCAGAGGGUCUGAACCGACUAUCUAUUAAGCAAAAUCAGAUUUUUAUCUUAUCAAGCGUUGUUUAUGGUUUUCUAAAUGGCUAAAGCACAAAAUAAGUCCUUAUACUAAAAAUAUCUAUCAUAUGAGCUUUUAUCUUUUUAUUGCAUUAAAUAUUUGAGCUCUUAAUCAAUUAUUACAAUCAAUCGAGUCCUUUUGGAUAUAUAAAAAUUUUAACACCAUUAACUCUUUCUACCAAUGAGAACAGAAUUGUCAUGUGCCAUAAAUAAUGUGGAACACACAGCAUUUUUUAGGCAUGUGUUAAAAUAAAAAAAAAACAAAGAAUUUAAUAAUUUUUUCAUUGAAAUUUUCUAUGCGUCUGAUUACAUCAAAGCUUCUUUGAACAGUUCCAUGUCUUUACUUGCAGAUAUUGCAAUAGCCAAUAGGGAAGCUUAUCACCAAGAUUGGCUUAUGCUUCAAGACAUUUCUUGAAUCAGGGCAAGGUUGAAAAUUGAUCUAGAUCUCUACUGGUCAAAGUCAGCCUGUAAAUAUAUUGCUUACGUUGAAAAUUGUGCAUUUUCAUUCACAUUCAAUCCAAAUUUUCUAACAAGAUAGUUAAUUAAUUAUUGUAAGCAUUCGGUUUUCAUUUUAUAAAUACUAGAGUGGUGCCUCGCUUUGUGUGGGUGUUAAAUUUUUUAUUAAAAAUUAUAUAAUAUUAUAAAUAAAAAUAAUAAUAUCAAGAGCAAUAAUUUUAAAUUUAAAAAUACUAUAAAUAAUAGUUAUAAUGAUAAUUUAAAGAAAAUUAUUUUUUAAAAUAUUUCUCAUCUCUUAUUAAGCAAAAAUUUUAUUUAAAUAAUUUUUUUUAAAACAUUUAAUUUUUUAUAUCUUAAUAUAUGCUAAUAUUGAUAUAUUCAUAUUUUAUUAAUUACAUGAUUCUAAUAGUGAAAUCAAAUUCAUAUUGAAAAAAUAUAAUGUUUUAAAAGUAAUUAUUGAUAAGCUAUAUAAUUGAUAUAAUAAAAUUAUUCAAAUAAAAUAAAUAUUUUUUGAAAGUCAAAAUGAAAUAAAUAUUAAUUAUACUUAUUAAUUUUUUUAGUUUUAAUGAUGAAAUGUUCUAAAUGAUCUUUAAUUUUAAUUAGUACUUUUUUAUCUCAUGCCUUUAUAAUUGUUUAGAAUUAAUUCCCCUUAUAAUUCCUAUCGUGUCUCAUUAAAAAUUAAAAAUUUGCUUCACAUCAAACUUGAAUGAAAUCCAUAAAUGUGCACCAAAAAAAGUUUAUUUUUAUAUUUUAUUUUAUAAAGAAUAUAUAUUUCAUAAUACAUGAAAGCACUGUUAGCUUCAAUUUCCUAUGAACCAAAACAUUAUCAAUACGGAAAAAAUGCUCUUAUGAAGCUAAAGAAAAAAAAUCUUCUGUUGACAAUCCUAAAUGCAACCGACCCCACAAAAAUCAUCUCAAAAUUCUUUAUAAAUCAAUCAUUUUAAAUUAGCCACAUGUCAAUAAAAGAAGCCACAAACGUGGCCAAGUGUGGAAGCCCCUGUAGGGCUUCAUUUUACUUAUGUUAUAGAUAUAUCUAUAUAUUGAAUCGAAAGUGUACAUUUAAUUUGAAAUAGAUCAUAGGAAAUGUAACAUGGAGUGAAAUUAUAAAGUGUUUUGUGAUCUUUAUUGAGAUUUCAUUUUUAUGUAAUGUAGAGAAACAAACUCAAUGAUGAACCAUGAUAGAGUUGAAUCAUUUCAUUUUCAUCACAGCUUGAACACGAACCAAUGGGGAAUCAAACCGAGGGGGUCUGUACCGAGGCAGGGUAUUACUAUUCUACCAUUAGAGUCCUUCCAACUUCACCUUGACAAAAUUAUCACCACGCAGCCCUAACCCCUAAAUCUGAUGAAAAACCCAAAAUGCCUCUGUCCCAAAAUAUUUAAAUUACAUUUACAUAUUUUUUAUCAAUAAUGAUUUGCAGUUUUUAAGUAUUAAUUACAUACAAGGGAGCCAAAUCAUGUUCAUCUUGCAAGAAAGAAAUGACAUGAUGCUUCAUUUUUUUAAAAAAAGAAGAAAUUAAAACUAAAUGUAACCUACAUCUAUAUAUAAAGUAUAAAUUAAUAACUUUUCUUUGAAAAUUAGAAAUUCAUAUCUGUCCAUGGCAUUCUCUUUCCAGAUUCCAAUUUCAUGGCAAAGUCUUUCCAUAUGUCUGAUCUCUACAUACUAUUGCACAUCCCAAAUCAGAAAUCAGGCUUUGAUAUCUUAUAAUGCUUUAUCCUGAUCUCACAAAAUAAAUGUUGUAGUAGUUGACAAGGUAAUUUGUUCUCUAUGUUCAUAUAUUACGAAUAAAUAACAGUUUACAGAAUUAGAUUUGACUCAAUAGUUCAUGUAUGUGUUCCCUUCAAAGAGUGGGAUUUGAAUUUCUUUUCUCCAAAAAACCAAAAGAAAGAAAACGUUAUAAGAUUGUCAUUAUUUGCAAUAAUAUUCUCCAACAUCACAAGAAUUAAUCCUUCUUGAGCAAUAGGUACGUUAAAAGGAUGCAAUAGGACAUUUUGCAAAGAAUGGACCAUUUAGGUCCGGCACCUUCAAAAUGUUGUAUUUCUUCUCCCUUAAUUCCAAAUUCAAGUGCAUGAAAAAAUAUGAUCAUAAAAUACAAAGAAGCCUUAAUGGAGAUGGUUAAAAAUCUUAUUCCAAACAAAAAAUAAAUUAUAGAUUUAAAUAAAGAUAAUGAGAUCGUAUAACAUAAUAGUGGGUAUUCUUAUUUUAAAUUACAAUACGUAAUUUGUGUUUAUUAAAGAAAUUAAAACAAGUAACUUGCUAGUAAAGCAUAAGCCCUUCACAAUUUAACCAAUGGUCGGAACCCUGGUAACAAUCCCAUAGGUGUUAACCCAAACUCGAACCCUAGUGCACAAGAAAUCCGCUGUAACAAAUGAUCCUUCCAACACAAUCACAGCAUUGACAUGAGGAUUCUCCUUCUCAAUUCUUGCCGCUGCAUCCUCCCCUUUCUUCCCCACAAGCUCAGGCCAAGAACUUUUCCCUACAUUUAUAGCCACAAGAACUUAUAUAAUUGCUUUUAAGGAAAUAAAAUUAUUAUUACAAUUACAAAUCAUUCUUAGCUUCGAAAGUUGUUAAUAUUUACCUUCGCAUUCAUCUGAAGCCAUCUUGUUCUUCCUCUUACUCUAUUGAACUAUUUUUUCUCCUUUGAUUUAUUUGUGUUAUGGAAACUAGUUAAGAUGGGUAUUUAUAGAUGAGUAGGUUAGCCUGCUGCUCAUUAUUGACCUUUCUUAGAAGCUUAUGUUGAAAGUUUCAAGUAUUUUUUUUGGGGAUAAAUUGUUUGUUGUAUUCCAACAUCAGCUCUGAUGAAGAUUAGGAUGAAGACAGUUGGUGCACUCUUCAGCAAUUUUUCUCACUUUCCUUACCAAAAUUAAAUUUAGAGUUCAAGGAUAUAUGGUUUCCGCGACCAUUUGUCUAAUGAAAUUUUCUAUUACUACAUAUUGUUUGAACAGCUCAAAUCUUAACUUGUCUAGAUUUUUCAAAAUUGGAUUAUGCUUCAAGAUAUCUUGAAACAUUUAUUGGCUUAAAACUAUGAAUUUAAGUCAAUUGAUGAUCCAUAUACAUAUAUCUAUAAACAAAGGACCAAAUCUUAAUCAUGUAAAAGAGAAAGCAAAAAUGAAAACCACAAACAUAUGAGAUAAAGUUGAAGUCUUUGAUGUGUUCCAACAAGGAAGAUUUGAAAUUCAAUUUGUGUAUGGUGUGAACACCCAAAAAUUAAAGAAAAACAAACACAUUGAAAGUCAUAAUAGCUAUAUAUCUAUAAACAACUUUAAACAAGCACAGAAAUUUUAAAACUAUAUAUAAAGAGUUGAAAGUCUUCGUUCCAAGAAGGAAGACUGAAUCUUAUAUUUUGAUUUAUCUCUCGGAGAAGUGAUUGUUAAAUGAUAAUAUAUUCUUUGAUUAUUUAAAGUCAAUAGGGCAAUAAUGAGUAUGAAGAUAUAAAUGGUAUAUUCAAUUCUUUUAGAAUUAGACAUUAUCUUUGAGGUUUUGAGCAUCCAUAUUUAAAUAGCUUGAAGACGAUGUACAAUGCUUCAAUGAUUAAUUUAUCAAGUUAAUUAAUAAGUUAGGUUCCAAGUCCAAAUUGUACUCUUAAAAAAUGGGUUAAAAUUAAAUUGGUUUCGUCUCACUGAUUAAGUAAUCAUUUAUAACUAUUUAUUCUAUUAUUUAUUAUUACUAAUGUCGGAGAGUCUAAACCAACUAUCUAUUAAGCAAAAUCAAAUUUUAAUCUUAUCAGGCAUUGUUUAUGGUUUUCUAAAUGGCUAAAGCACAAAAUAAGUCCUUAUACUAAAAAUAUCUAUCAUUUGAGCUUUUAUCUUUUUAGUGCAUUAAAUAUUUGAGUUCUUAAUCAACUAUUACAAUCAAUUGAGUCCUUACUGGAAUAUAUAAAAAUUUUAACACCAUUAGCUCUUUCUAUCAAUGAGAAUAAGAUUGUCAUGUGACAUAAACAAUGUGGAACACACAGCAUUUUUUAGGCAUGUGUUAAAAUUAAAAAAAAAAAAACAAAGAAUUCCUUUCAUUCUUGACAUGUAUUAAAAAUGACCAUUUCUUUUAAUUUGACACACAUGCUCAAAAAAUGUCGUGUUAAUAUUUAUUCCACAUCAUUCAUGUCUCAUGAAAAUUAUAUCCCGACUAAUAGAAAUUAAAGAAUUAAUGGUGUUAAAAUUUUCAUCAAAUAAGAAUCCAAUUGAUUGUAAAUAAUUGAUUAAAAACCUAAUUAUUUACAAUAGAAUAGAAGCUCUUGCAACACAUUUAAUUGCAUACAAGGGCUUAUUUUGUUUUUAGUCAAAUCAUAUUCAUCUUGUGUGAAAGAAAUGACAUGAUGCCAGUCGACAUGGUGCUUCAAUAUUUUUUUUUUUAAAUAAACUACAUGUAACAUAAAUAAAGUAUAAUAUAAGUAUUUUCAUGAAUGCAUUAAAAAAUCAAUAACUUGAUUAGGCAUUGUACAAAUAUAUAACUAUCUUCCCUUUGGAAAUUAGAAAUUCAUAAUUCAUCCAUGGCAUUCUAUUUCCAGAUUCCAAUUUCAUGGCAAAGUGUUUCCAUAUGUCAUGUAUUUCUACAUUGCAAAUUCCAAAACAGAAAUCAGGCUUUGAUAUCUUAUAACUCAUUAACGAUUUGUGUAUGUAUUCCCUUCGGAGAGCCUUAAUGGAGACCGUUUAGCAUCUAAUUAGUCCAAAUUUGAAACAAAUUAGAGACUUACGUAGAUAAACAAUGAGAUCAAAUAAUCAAAUUUAUUCUUGUUUUAUAUUACAACAUAGUCCCCAUUUAUUAAAAAAAUAAAAGCAAGUAACUUGCUAUAGUCGAGCAUAAGCCCUUCACAAUAUAUUUAACCAAUGAUGGGAACCCUGGUAACGAUCCCAUCCGUGUUAACCCAAACCCGAACCCUAGUGCACAAGAACUCCAAUGUUACAAAUGUUCCUUCCAACACAAUCAUAGCAUUGACAUGAGGAUUCUCCUUCUCAAUUCUUGCCGCUGCAUCCUCCCCUUUCUUCCCCACAAGCUCAGGCCACGAACUUUUCCCUACACAUAUAGCCACAAGAAUGUAUAUAAUUAUUCUGAAGGAAAAAAAGUUAUUAGUACGAUUACAAAGCAUUCUUAGCUUUGAAAGUUGUUACUAUUUACCUUUGCAUUCGUCUGAAGCCAUCUUGUUCUUCUUUUCACUCUAUUGAACUAUUUUUUUCUACUUUGAUUUAUUUGUGUUAAGGCAACUAGUUAAGAUGGGUAUUUAUAGAUGAGGAGCAGAUUAGCCUGUUCCUCAUUGUUGACCUUUCCAGCAGGCUUAUGUUGAAAGUUUGAAGUGUUUUUUUGGGAGGGGAUAAAUUUUUUGUUGUAUUCCAACAUCACCUCUGAGAAAGAUUAGGAUGAAGAAAGUUGGUGCAUUUUUAAGCAAUGUUUCUCACUUUCCCUUCCAAAACUUAAUCUAUAAACCUAACAUAUUUGUGGUCUCAGCUGCCACUAUCUGCCCAAUGACAUUUUCAAUGCAUUUGAUUACAGCAAAGUAUCUUUGAACAGUUCAGCAUCUUAGCUUGUGGAUAUUGCAAUAGGAAGCUUAUCCCAAAGAUUGGAUUAUGGUGCAAGAUAUCUUGAAUCAGGGCAAGGUAUUCAAACAAAUAUGGCUUAAAAGUCAUCAGAAUUCUACUUCUAUAGGAAAAAUUUUUUUGAACAUUAAUCUUCCAUGACUCCAUCUUUCUUGAUGUUGCCGCUACCACUGCUUCUUCUGUUCUCUUGAUCACCUUUGAUGUCAAAAUUCCUUGAUGCUCCAUAACAAAAGCAAACUAAAGUGGUACACCUGCGACGCCGCCAGGAGUACAGACCAACAAGCUGAAAUCCUUUCUAUUUAUGCCGAUACCAUUCCAGACAGCUUUAUUUAUUAUGGCUAUUGAUCAACCAAAUUAAAAAUGGUGACGAGAUAUGGGUAUACCAUUUUUCUUUUGCACAAUCAGAAAUGCUUUAUUGAAUAUCACAGAAAACUGAUCACAAAAGAUCAGUAUGGAGUACAAUAUGACUCAUCACACUAAGGCUAACAGCCCCCAAAAAAAACAAAGGCACCAGAAGCCUCCCAUAAAGUAAUAGCAUGGUCACCAUUAGCUGUACUCAAUCGAAAACAGAGGAGGAAAGAUCUUACUUCUAUACUAUAUAUAUUAAUAUGAAGGUUAAUUCUGGUUUUGAGAUGUCUUGUUAGGUUUCUUCUUUCUUUUUCAUCUUGUUGUUGGGUUGAUCUUCUUUUUUGUUUUCUCCCCUUGUGGAUGUGUGUUUCUGUUUCUGUUUCUGUUUCUGUAUCUUUGUUUUCUGCUUCUGCGGGUGCUGGCUUUCUCAGCUAGUUUCCUUCUGAACCUCUGUUUCUUUUGUGAUGAUUAUGUUUCAUAUGGACAAUUUGUGUUCUAUUUUGUUGUUUUGAUCUUUUAAUUUUAAUUUUGGGAUGAGUCUUUUUGGAUAUUUCAUCUGUUUGAAAUCCAGUGAAUUGUAAAAUUGAUAGCUAGUCCACCAAACUUAAAAUAAAAAAAGUUGUAAUCACUAAAGCGUACACUAAAUUCAGCAAGGAAAAAACUCCAGCCUAGCUUGAUUACAAAAUUAAAAGUUCUAGAUAGGAAAUAUCUAUAAAGAGGAAUGCCAUAAUAUUUUGUUUUCUUUGUUUUAAUCUUUGGGCCAUGUCUAGCUUGGAAAUGGCUAACGAAUGUUGAGAAAUCAUUGUUCAGAUUGAUGAAUCAAGCACUUAGAACCCUAUGGUAGAAUCAUUAAAUGGAUAGACACUUUCAUGGUCCUUUCUUUUUGAAUUUAAUUCUAUGGCAAAGCCUUUCAUAUACCAGCUAUCCACAUUGCAAGUCUGGAAUCAGUAAUCAGCAAUAUUAUGUUAUCUUUAUGCUAUCUUAUUGUGUACGUAUCCAAGUUACAAAAUAUAAAGCCAUGUUGACAAGGGUAAGGAAGAAACAGGUAUAUAAGUUUUGGCUUUAUAGAGUGCAGGGCUGGAGAGUCUUCCAUCAUCCUAUUUCAUGUUUCUGGCAGUUUGAUAUCAAAAUCUCUGACUUUUAAAUAUAUGUAGCUACCGUCCAUGAAUAAAAGUCAACCAGAUUAUUAUACAAGUCCCUAACUCUAUAGCUCAUAUAGCUUAGCUCAACAAAAGCAAAUAUUCUUUGAUUAUUUAACUAAACGGCAUGUUAAAUUCAUUUACAAUUAGACACUAUCUUAAUUUGAGCAUUCAUACUGGAUAAUUUGAAGCCUAGGAAAAUUUAAUGCUUGAAUAUCAUUUGUAAUUUUAGCCAAUUUCUCAAUAAUAUAAUUAUUAAAUUUACUGUUUGAUAAAUCAGGUUGAAACUAAAAUGGUUUUGUCUCAUCAAUGAAGAAACCAUUUCUAUUUGAAUGGAUUUCUGCUUAGCACCAAGAUUCCAAAGACCAAUAGAAAGGCAUAGGCAGUGGUAGAUCAGCAUCAUCCACGAGUCAGCACUGACAGAGCACAAGCAGUUGAAAGUGCAGCAGCAUUCAAAGAGUGUUGCCAUAACAUAAUAAACCAGCAAAAUCAGAUUUUUUUAUCUUGUUUUGACUAAACAAGAAUUAAUUACUUUUCAUUAAGGAUGAGAUCGAUUCAUAUUGGCCAUCAAUUUGGAAAAGCAUAACAUUUUAUUGAUUUCAGCUUGAAAAAUAUAUUCAAGGCUAAUCUUUACAUUUAGAAGAAAAAAAGAAAAGCAACCUAGAUAUGAAAUACAAAAUUAUAAGGCUACUUCAAAUUGGCACAGGUAGCUCCGAAGGUGGCAGAUGGUCGAAAGCCAACAAUGCAUGUAUGUCAUCUACAUCCUUAUCAGUGAAAAGCUCAUCCAACUUGCUAUUCUCAUCUGUGUUCCUAAUUCCCCAUAGCUGAUCCACCUCCUUGAAAGAGUCAUCAUGGUUUAAUUCCUCAUAUCCACCCGAUAGCUCAUCUACAUUCUUACCAGUGACAAUGACAGGUUCAACCGGUUUGCUACUUUCACUGUUGUUGCUAAUCCCAUGUAGUUGAUCCACUUCCUUCAAACAGUCACCAUCGAUUAAUGCCUCAUAUUCACGCAAUAAUUCAUCUACGCUCUUAUCAAUGACAAGCUCAUCCAAGUUGCUAAUUUGAUCGUUGUUGCUAAUCCCCAAUAGUUGAUCCACCUCACUGUAGGGGUCUUCAUCCAGUAACUGAUCCAUCAAAGAAUCACCCUCACCUACUAGGCCAUUAGAAUCCAUUUCUCCAAAACCAUUUACUCGAGAUUCUGAUCGUUCCACCAAAAUUGAUGAUUGACAUUCCAGGUUCUCUGACUACUGCAACCUUCCAUCUACGUAAUUAUCUACCCAAGGACGGCAUUGUCCAUCAUCGAGCAAAGGUAAAUUUCCACUGAAAACAGCUUCUUGCAUUAAAGCAGAUGAUGGACAUUCUUUGUUUCCAAGAAACAGAUUUCCAAAAAGCUCAUUAACCCAAAAAGCUACACACUUAUCUUCCUCUGAACAGGCUGUGUCUUUGAUCUUGCAGAUAACCCAUUCUUGAAAAUUUUCUCUGGGGAGACGAUACUCAUGCAUAAGCCAGCUAGUUUUGGUGGCAUCCUUUGGAUUUCGUUUCUCACCCUUGUACUCAUAGAAGUUAAGGGUAUUCACGUACCCUAUAACAUGCUCUCCUUGUUCAUCAAGAAUAGGUUUCUCACCUGUUGAAGACCUCCAAAAUCCACCGUCUCCUACUGCUCGACUGUCAAGAACCCUUCUAGGUCGUUUUCCAUUUGCAUUCUUUUGAGAAAUCUUCUGUCGAUGGGUGAAGACGAAACGCUGGUUGGGUUUGACGAACGGAAGAAAGCCUUUGUUAACAUCAAACAGGGCAUCUGGCUUGAUGCAAUAUAGAUCACAAAAUUCAAUGAGGUAGCUAAGUUCGUCGAUCCCUUCACCAGUCAUCAACUUGGGCAGAAAAAAGGAAACUAUUUCCCGAUCAGAAGGAUUGAACACCACUCCUGGAGCUGGAGGAUGGAACAUCAUCGCUAGGGUCGGAGUUAGAAUGAGAUUUUCUUGUUUUGGGAAAGAGAGUGAAGAGGUUUUUAGCGUCAAAAGGAAGCAGAAUGCUUUGUUUUCUGAAAGUGAAGUAAGAAGAAAUCUAGUUGCUUAAUUCUGCUUUUAUUUAUAGUUACCAAAAGAGACGGUUUAAGCAGAAUUCUACUUGCUUAAUUCUAGUUGCCUAAAACGCGUUUUUUGUUUUUAAUUUUAAAUUUGAAAUUUGGUAGCGCUGCUUCUGAUGGUCUCUUGAUCAGCUUUGCUAUGAAAGUUCCUUGAUGGUACAAGAACACUAAAGCAAGGCACCUCACCCUCACUCCAACCAUGGCCGCCGAUAUCAGGAUCUCUACCAGCGACCACCAGGCCUUGUCUCCCAUCACGGUACCUUCCCCCUCUCAAUCUCCCCUCCAAUUCCCAUGUUUCCCCCGUGAGGUUAUAAUUCGCCCCUCCCCUGCAUGUCUUGGGUUUUAGCUCCUGAAUUUUAGCAUGGAAACUCAAUUAGAUUUCUAUUUUAUUUUAAUUAAUAUCAAAUGAACUUCUUUUACUAAAUUUCAAGGAAUUUAUUUGGAAAUGCUCAUAUUUUUUUCACUUUUAAAGUAAAGGAUAUGUUUGUUUGAAAUUUCAAUGUCAGUACAUACGUGUGAUUUCUAUGGUUUCCUGUAAAACAAUGCUCAGAGUUAUUCAAGAUGGUGAUUUGGGUUGGGAUGAAUGGCAUAAUUAGCUUUACUUAAUCAUCUUUUCCAUAACUUGUUACAAUUUUUUACUACAAGAUUGUUAAUAGAUGAGAAUGGAGGGAGACUUUGAAGAAUUGUUAAUAACUGUUUGGGGUAAAGGGUUGAAUCUAUCAUGAUAGGAAAGGGAUGCACUUGAUAGUAAAGAUGUGAUAAGAACUUUUUGAUAAGCAUUAAAUGGGAUGAUUUGGGUUGAAUCCAUCAUGAUAGGAAAGGGAUGCCUCAUGCCUGGUGCCUAGUCUGAUGAGAGAAAGUAAUGAUAACAACUUUUGUUUCGAAACGGACUGUAUAUCACCAGAAUCAUUUCUCAUGCACUGUUACCAGUAUGUUGUUUUGAGGCCUUGUCUGUUGUUUUGGCUCUUUUUCCCCUGUUAGCGCAGGUUUAUCGGGUUCACUUGUAAAUAGGGAAAGAAUUGGUUUCUUUGUCUCUGCAGGACACGGAGGGUAUACUGGUGUUCCUGUUACCAGUCUAUGCUGUGAGGGUCAAGACUAACUGCCAAUCAGUCUUCUACUCUCCUCUGUUUGUUUUUGGACUCCCUCUAUGGAAUGAAUGACUUAAUUUUCAAAAAGCAAAAAAAAAAAAAAAGGUUAAAUCUUUUUCUAUAUACCAUGACCAGAACCCAGCUUUAUUUUUUUGUGGCCAAAUAAAAUUGUGAAGAAAUAUCACUUUGCUUUACAUGAAAGAGAUUAGGAAACAACUUAUUUCUUUGGGAGGUAGGAGAUGUGAUGAAAUUUUUAGGUUGAGAAAAGAUUUAUGGAUGGAUAUAGAAUGAAGCGCAAUUAUAUUUCAUAUGGACAUUUUGUAUUUUACUUUGUUGUUUCGAAUUCUGAAUUUUAAUUUGUUAUAAUUCUUUUUGGAUAUUUAAUUUUCUUGAAAUCCCAUGAGUGGUAAAAAGGAUAGCUAGUCCACCAAAAUAAAACUUGAUUGCAAAUUUAAAAGCUCUAACUAGGAAAUACCUAUAAAGAGGAAUGCCACAAUAUUUUCUUCUUUUUUUUUAAUUUUUGGCCAUUUCUAGCUUGGAAAUAGCUAUUGUUCACAUAGAUGAAUCAAGCACUUGGAACCCUAUGGUAGAAUCAUCAGGUAGAUAGACACUUUCAUGGUAUUUUCUUUCUGAAUUUAAAAUGUAUGGCAAAGUCUUUCAUAUGCCAGCUAUCCACAUUGCAAGUCUGGAAUCAGUAAUCAGCAAUAUUAUGGUAUCUUUGUGCGAUCUUAUUGUAUAUAUAUAUCCAAGUUACAAAAUAUAAAGCCAUGUUGACAAGGCUAAGGAAGAAAGAAGUAUAUAAGUUUUGGCUCUAUAUAGAGUGCAAGGCUGGAGGGCCUUCCAUCAUCCUAUUUCAUGCUUCUGGCAGUUUGAUAUCAAAAUCUCUUGCUUCUCUGAUGCUGGAUUUGUAGGAUUGCAAGAUAUUCUGCUUAUGAACUGUCACCUUCAUGCUGUCGAAAAUUCCUGAUCCAGUAUUAUGAGGAAACUGCUAAGUUACAUGUGACAAGCACAAAUACAUAUCAGAUUACACAGGAGUGAUACCCAGGACAUUAUGAUAACUAAGUGAUGGUGGCGAGAAACUAGAGUUUUGGGAAGUAUAAUUUGCAUCUCAUUGAUGGAAGCCUCCAAAUAACAAAUUUCUUUUUUUGGGCUUUUUGAUAUAAACCAAACAUCAAGGUUGCAUAAAUAACUUUAGUUUUCGGAAGUAUAACUUGGUUAUAAGAGGAAUGCCAUGGUAUUGGUUUUUUAAUUAUUUGGCCGAACUCCAUAGAAAGUCAAAGGGAAGAUUACCUAGUGGUUACUUAUUUCCAUAUACAAUGUCCCCCACAAAUUUAAGUGCUGGAACACCUCUAAUUUCCAUGUCAACUAGGGGUGCUUGGUUUAACUUCAAGCUGGAUAGCUCUGGAUUGUUAUGAAUCAUAUCAAGGGCACGCAUCUGAUGUUGAAAUAUUUAAUUAACAAUAAAUAAUUAAAAAUAUUCGAAUAUUUGAUUUAUUGGUUAGUACAUAAUUUUUUAUUUAAAAAAUAUGAUUCAAAUCCCUCUUCUCUCAAUUAAAAAAAAAACAAUGAAUAAUUAAGGGGAAGAGUAAGUUGGAAAGGAAGAUGAAGAUACUAAUGUUCCAUCUUUUCGUUAAUAUAUUCUUCCAUUCAACAUGCUAUGACACAUCGAUCACCAUUCGUCAUAAUAUUAUUGAGGGUAAACAGAUUUAUACCUUUAUUUUCACAGCACAGAACUUGCAGUCAGAGGCAGAUGGAUGAAGAAUCUGAUUAACAAUAAGUCGCCUGACAGGAACAUUUUCCAUCUCCAAGAAGGCACGUAGUCUAGAUGACUCACUGACUGCCAUCACCUAAGGAAAGGACAUAAAACAUGAGCAAUGAGCACAGAGGUUCUUCUAGUUGUUGUAAUAAGGCAAUGAGCAGAGGCUCUUUGUGUGGACACACAGAACUUUGGAUAGAACUAUAAUCAACACGUUUACCCAUUUCACCUACACGUUUUGUGCUGCAGGUGCUUUUUUAAGGAAGCAGGGAGUUUUCCCUUUCUAGGUACCAUUAUCAACUAUGUAUGAGUAUGACGACUUGAAUAUAAUCUAAUUCAGCAUUUCAAAAAUAUAUAUAUUAUAAAUAUUCAGAAAUCAAAACAUAUUUUUUUAUCAUUUGCACUAAAUUUAUUUGUAAUUUUACAUAUUAUUAUAUUAUAUUGUAGAUAUUUAUAUUUUGUAUGGUUUUAGGAUUGAUACUGUAUGUUGUUUGAAUUUUAAUAAAUUUCAAAUAUAAUUAUAUGCUAAUUUUGCAAUAUUUAUUAUUAAAUAAAAUAUAAAUUAUAUGAUUUAUAAAAUAUAACUGUAGAAAGUGCAGGCAGUGUCAAUAGGAGCUCCCUUGAGCACCUGCACCAUAUAUACACAUUCGAAUCCUCACUAGCAAUAAAUUACAAAUCGAAUACGUUUUGUGACCUUUGUUUUGACACAAGUGUAGGAUCACCUUCUAUGCUCCAGAGAUGGAUUUCUUGGAUUAUAAGCUUCAUCAGUAAGAACUUAUUGUCUUUUGAUAAUGAGAAUGAAGUAAUCAUGUCUACCUCUUCAAUAAGUCACUCAAAUUUUGCCUCCCAGUCGAGCAAUAGUAUAGCAGAUUCUCUGCAUAUGCUUAUGAUCCUCUUAUCAUCAUCAGUUAUGGCCAUAUCUGAGAUUUUAAGUGUCUUCUGUCCUUUACAGCAUUCUCCAGAACUGACAUCCCAAGGCCUCAUACCCUCCUCCUGUCCACAAGUAAGGAUUUGGCUAUCAUCUGGGCUCCAUGAAACAGUUAAUACUGGUUUCUGGUGGCCGCAUAGGGUAGGCUUCAGUGAACUUUGCCCUUGACCACUAGUUAUCUUAAUCCCAUAUGUAGUCCAUGUGUAGUCAUGCAUUCAUUUGGUCCACAAAGGCAAUGUGUGAGGGAUGUGAUCUCAUAUAUAGAAAUUGAACUACAGCGGAUUUGAAUGACCUUAUCUAGCUAUAUAUCUAAUCUUGCACGACAAUCAGCCACCAUUUUUGAACAACUAUGUUGAAAAACUGGAAAAAUAGAAUGCCUUCUGUUGAGAUAAGCUAGUUUCUCACUUUAUUGAUAUAAGACAAUUUUGUAAGUGAUAUCAACUUGACAGAGCUAGCUUAUAAAUUAGCCUGGUCAAUUUGGUUGUUAGUUUGACUACUUACUUUUUCAGAAAUAAUUGAUAUUUUCAAAUAAUUAAAAAAAUAAAAAAAUUCCAUUUAGAAAUCUUUCUUAUCACAAAGAAUUAUUAUGAUUAACCAUUAAAGCCUAUAGAAUAAAGUCUAUUUUCUGGGUUCGUAAUUUGACUUUUCGUCAAUCUAAAUCCAUUUAAACAAAUAUUCAUGGCAAUCUAGAUGACUAGAGUUAGUGUUAAAAUAGACCUUCAUAUUAAUCGUCAUUUGCUUGCAUACUUAAAAAGAACUAACCCAAAAUUUAAAAUGGAAUAUGAAGGAUGUUCUACACCGUGCUAAUUAAAAAGCCAAUUAAAAUAUAGUUGAAAUACUCUACUUAUCAGGGCUUAACAUUAAAAAUUAAUUAAAGCUGUUUCCUGAUAUUAUACCAAAUAUAUAAAUAUCCCUGCAGCUGACAAGGCAAUGUUUUUUCCAUUGAAAAUUUUCUAUAUUAGAUUCAUUGGAAUGAGAAAGAAGAAUUAGAUAUUAUAGCGUGUUUUUCCAUCCAUAUGAUUGAUUUGUAAAAGAUUCUGAUAUUCAAAGAUACUCAAAAUAGGCAUGGCAAAAUAUAAUUAUAAAGUGAAAAAGGUCUUAAUAGGAAACUAUUAUUAGUAUCUUAUGUCAAAUUUAAACCAAAUUACAGAGAUAUAUGUAUGUCAAGAGAUACAAUAAUUUUGAGCUUGCUUAUUUAAUUAUGGCUACAUGACUAGGUAUAAAUAAGUGACUUCCUAGUCAAGUGUAUAAGCCCUUUGCAUUUAACCAAUGACGGGAACCCUGGUAACGAUCCCAUCAGUGUUAACCCAAACACGAACCCUAGUGCACAAGAAAUCCGGGGUGACAAAUGAUCCUUCCAACACAAUCACAGCAUUGACAUUAGGAUUCUCCCUCUCAAUUGUAGCUGCUGCCUCCUCCCCUUUUGCUCCCAGGAGCUCCGGCCAUGAACUUUUCCCUACAUAUAUAGGCAUAGCCACAAGAAUUUGCAUUAAACAAAAGGAAAUUGUUAAUCAGUACAAACCAUUCGAGGCUCUGGAAGUUGUUAUUUACCUUGGCAUUCAUCUGAAGCCAUGUUUCUCUUCUUUUCACUCUAUUGCAAUAUCCUUUUCCUCUUUGAUUUAAUUGUGUUAUGGCAAUCGGGUAAAAGGGGUAUUUAUAGAUGAAAAGUAUAUGGUGGUUUGUUGGACAUUAUUGACUUUCAAGGCUUAUGCCAAAAGUUUGAAGUUCUUGGCAAAUUAAUUGUUCCAUAGUUUUCAAACCUGCAUUUAGCUAUAUGAUCAGAAAUCCGUCAGCUGUAAUUACAUGAUAGAUGGUGCAUUCUUUAAGCAAUUCUUCUCACGUUUCCUUUCAGAUUUUAUUUAAAACCAUCGGAUAUAUAUAUAUAUGAUCAGCCACUAUUUUUUCAUUGAAAUUUUCUAUGCGUCUGAUUACAUCAAAGCUUCUUUGAACAGUUCCAUGUCUUUACUUGCAGAUAUUGCAAUAGCCAAUAGGGAAGCUUAUCACCAAGAUUGGCUUAUGCUUCAAGACAUUUCUUGAAUCAAGGCAAGGUUUUAAAAGGAAUGGCUUAAAACUGAUCUACAUCUCUACUGGUCAAAGUCAGCCUGUAAAUAUAUUGCGUACGUUGAAAAUUGUGCAUUUUCAUUCACAUUCAAUCCAAAUUUCCUAACAAGAUAUAUAGUUAAUUAAUUAUUGUAAGCAUUCGGUUUUCAUUUUAUAAAUACUAGAGUGGUGCCCCGCUUUGCGUGGGUGUUAAAUUUUUUAUUAAAAACAAUAUCAAAUUAUAUAAUAUUAUAAAUAAAAAUAAUAAUUUUAAAUUUAAAAACACUAUAAAUAAUAGUUAUAAUGAUAAUUUAAAGAUAAUUAUUUUAAAAAUUAUUUUUUAAAAUAUUUCUCAUCUCUUAUUAAGCAAAAUUUUUUAUUUAAAUAAUUUUUUUGAAAACAUUUAAUUUUUUAUAUCUUAAUAUAUGCUAAUAUUGAUAUAUUUAUAUUUUAUUAAUUACAUGAUUCUAACUGUGAAAUCAAAUUUAUAUUGAGAAAAUAUAAUGUUUUAAAAGUAAUUAUUGAUAAGCUAUAUAAUUGAUAUAAUAAAAUUAUUCAAAUAAAAUAAAAAUUUUUGAAAGUCAAAAUGAAAUAAAUAUUAAUUAUACUUAUUAAAUUUUUUUUAGUUUUAAUGAUGAAAUUUUCUAAAUGAUCUUUAAUUUUAAUUAAUACUUUUUUAUCUCAUGCCUUUAUAAUUAUUUAGAAUUAAUCUCCCUUAUAAUUCCUUUCGUGUCUCAUUAAAAAUUAAAAAUUUGCUUCACGUCAAACUUGAAUGAAAUCCAUAAAUGUCCACUAAAAAAGUUUAUUUUUAUAUUUUAUUCUAUAAAAAAUAUAUAUUUCAUAGUACAUGAAAGCACUGUUAGCUUCAAUUCCCUAUGAACCAAAACAUUAUCAAUACGGUAAAAAUGCUCUUAUGAAGCUAAAGAAAAAAAUUCCUCUGUUGACAAUCUUAAAUGCAACCGACCUCACAAAAAUCAUCUCAAAAUUUUUUAUAAAUCAACCAUUUUAAAUUAGCCACAUGUCAAUGAAAAAAGCCACAAACGUGGCCAAGUGUGGAAGCCCCUUUGAAGCUUCCCUUUACUUAAGUUAUAGAUAUAUCUAUUUAUUGAAUCGAAAGUGUACAUUUAAUUUGAAAUAGAUCAUAGGAAAUGUAACAUGGGGUGAAAUUAUAAAGUGUUUUGUGAUCUUUAUUGAGAUUUCAUUUUUAUGUAAUGUAGAGAAACAAACUCAAUGAUGAACCAUGAUAGAGUUGAAUCAUUUCAUUUUCAUCACAGCUUGAACACGAACCAAUCUGGAAUCAAACCGUGGGGGUCUGUACCGAGGAAGGGUAUUACUAUUCUACCAUUUGAGUCCUUCCAACUUCACCUUGACAAAUUUAUCACCACGCAGCCCUAACCCCUAAAUCUGAUGAGGAAAAACCCAAAAUGCCUCUGUCCCAAAAUAUUUAAAUUACAUUUACAUAUUUUUUGUCAAUAAUGAUUUGCACUUUUUAAGUAUUAAUUACAUACAAGGGAGCCAAAUCAUAUUCAUCUUGUAAGAAAGAAAUGACAUGAUGCUUCAUUUAAAAAAAAAAAGAAGAAAUUAAAACUAAAUGUAACCUACCGCUAUAUAUAAAGUAUAAAUUAAUAACUUUUCUUUGAAAAUUAGAAAUUCAUAUCUGUCCAUGGCAUUCUCUUUCCAGAUUCCAAUUUCAUGGCAAAGUCUUUCCAUAUGUCUGAUCUCUACAUACUAUUGCAAUCCCAAAUCAGAAAUCAGGCUUUGAUAUCUUAUAAAGCUUUAUCCUGAUCUCACAAAAUAAAUGUUGUAGUAGUUGACAAGGUAAUUUGUUCUCUAUGUUCCUAUAUUACGAAUAAAUAACAGUUUACAGAAUUAAAUUUGACUCAAUAGUUCAUGUAUGUGUUCCCUUCAAAGAAUGAGAUUUGAAUUUCUUUUCUUCAAGAAAACAAAAGAAAGAAAAUGUUAUAAGAUUGUCAUUAUUUGCAACAACAUUCUCUGACAUCACAAGAAUUAAUCCUUCUUGAGCAAUUGGAGUUAAUAGGAGUUAAGAGGAUGUAAGACGACAUUUUGCAAAGAAUGGACCAUUUAGGUCCGGCACCUUCAAAAUUUUGCAUUUUUUCUCCCUUAAUUCCAAAUUCAAGUGCAUGACAAAAUAUGAUCAUAAAGUACAAAGAAGUCUUAAUGGAGACGGUUCAAAAUCUUAUUUCAAAUUAAAAAUAAAUUACAAACUUAAAUAAAGAUAAUGAGAUCAUAUAACAUAAUAUUGGGUAUUCUUAUUUUAAAUUAUAAUACAUAAUUCGUGUUUAUUAAAGAAAUUAAAACAAGUAACUUGCUAGUAAAGCAUAGGCCCUUCACAAUUUAACCAAUCAUAGGAACCCUGGUAACAAUCCCAUAGGUGUUAACCCAAACUCGAACCCUAGUGCACAAGAAAUCCGCUGUAACAAAUGAUCCUUCUAACACAAUCACAGCAUUGACACGAGGAUUCUCCUUCUCAAUUGUUGCUGCCGCAUCCUCCCCUUUCUUCCCCACAAGCUCAGGCCAAGAACUUUUCCCUACAUUUAUAGCCACAAG